CAGUCGCCGCGGGAAAACAGAGGGUGCAAGCGUUAAUCGGAAUUACUGGGCGUAAAGCGCGCGUAGGUGGUUUGUUAAGUUGGAUGUGAAAGCCCCGGGCUCAACCUGGGAACUGCAUCCAAAACUGGCAAGCUAGAGUACGGUAGAGGGUGGUGGAAUUUCCUGUGUAGCGGUGAAAUGCGUAGAUAUAGGAAGGAACACCAGUGGCGAAGGCGACCACCUGGACUGAUACUGACACUGAGGUGCGAAAGCGUGGGGAGCAAACAGGAUUAGAUACCCGCGUAGUCCCUGUCUCUUAUAC
RNAcentral lists this ribosomal RNA (301 nucleotides) under uncultured bacterium. RNAcentral describes it as "partial 16S ribosomal RNA". It matches the Rfam family "Bacterial small subunit ribosomal RNA", at positions 509 to 807 of the family's 1533-position model. The record is from RNAcentral.